UGAUGGGUAUAGAUUAAAUGAUGAUAGGCUAACAUGUCUACUAGUGAAAGAUGUAUGCAGUGAUUUUGAGAAACUGAACUGCUCUCAAGGAUGCACAGUAGACUUUCAACAGAACACUUCAUAUUGGUUUUGUGCUGAUGGUUACAAUCUAGUUGGCAAAGACACAUGUGAAGACAUCAAUGAAUGUGAAGUAUCAACAAAGAACUUGUGCAGCUUCAAGUCUGGAUGUGUUAACAGAGUACCAGGAUACAGCUGUUCAUGUCCCCCUGGGUCAAGUUUGGACAAUGAUGGACUCAACUGCAAUAGUAUAACAAAUCUUAAAUACUAUUUAUAAAACAAUGGUUAAAAACUCUUAUGGAAAUGCUUUCAAAUGCUUUUUUUGGUGAUCUGUGAGAUUUUUUAAAUAGAAAUGUUUCAUUUCUUGUUAUGUUAUAUUGAUUUUUUUUACAAAGCUUAUAUCAACUCAUUCUGUCUGUCUUUCUGGUAAAAAGUUAUUUCUCCCAUACCCAAUCUCGGAUCAAGCUUAUUUCUUUUACCUGACAA
Biomphalaria glabrata is the source of this 543-nucleotide long non-coding RNA. RefSeq lists it as uncharacterized. The record is from RefSeq and is a predicted model, not a curated record. Lineage: Eukaryota; Metazoa; Mollusca; Gastropoda; Planorbidae. The transcript is spliced from 3 exons.